Molecule: long non-coding RNA, 217 nt
Filed under: Carica papaya (papaya)
Lineage: Eukaryota; Viridiplantae; Streptophyta; Magnoliopsida; Brassicales; Caricaceae
Description: long non-coding RNA (CPAP_LNC008889)
Source: RNAcentral
UACAUGUAGACCAAGAAUUAUUAUUUUGAUUAUCGAGCUUUUUGUUUUUGCCAACGAAUUCAAGAUCACCCAUCUUGUUAAUAGAAAGCUCUCAUGAAAUUAAUGUAGGACUUCCUUAACUGUCUUGCUUUAAUAUUACAAUAUUGAAAGACAUCUAGAAAGAAGACUUUAGAAUCUCUCGUGAAGGAGGCUUCAAAGCUUUGAAAUGCACUCAAUG